RNAcentral lists this microRNA (24 nucleotides) under Caenorhabditis remanei. RNAcentral describes it as "crm-miR-7608". The record is from miRBase by way of RNAcentral. Lineage: Eukaryota; Metazoa; Nematoda; Chromadorea; Rhabditida; Rhabditidae.
AACGUUUCAUUUCUGUACAAAACU